GUGAGGGUUGCUGGAGGUAUCAGAAGUGCGAAUGCUGACAUAAGUAACGAUAAAGCGGGUGAAAAGCCCGCUCGCCGGAAGACCAAGGGUUCCUGUCCAACGUUAAUCGGGGCAGGGUGAGUCGACCCCUAAGGCGAGGCCGAAAGGCGUAGUCGAUGGGAAACGGGUUAAUAUUCCCGUACUUGGUGUUACUGCGAAGGGGGGACGGAGAAGGCUAUGUUGGCCGGGCGACGGUUGUCCCGGUUUAAGCGUGUAGGCUGGUUUUCCAGGCAAAUCCGGAAAAUCAAGGCUGAGGCGUGAUGACGAGGCACUACGGUGCUGAAGCAACAAAUGCCCUGCUUCCAGGAAAAGCCUCUAAGCAUCAGGUAACAUCAAAUCGUACCCCAAACCGACACAGGUGGUCAGGUAGAGAAUACCAAGGCGCUUGAGAGAACUCGGGUGAAGGAACUAGGCAAAAUGGUGCCGUAACUUCGGGAGAAGGCACGCUGACACGUAGGUGAAGUGAUUUACUCACGGAGCUGAAGUCAGUCGAAGAUACCAGCUGGCUGCAACUGUUUAUUAAAAACACAGCACUGUGCAAACACGAAAGUGGACGUAUACGGUGUGACGCCUGCCCGGUGCCGGAAGGUUAAUUGAUGGGGUCAGCGCAAGCGAAGCUCCUGAUCGAAGCCCCGGUAAACGGCGGCCGUAACUAUAACGGUCCUAAGGUAGCGAAAUUCCUUGUCGGGUAAGUUCCGACCUGCACGAAUGGCGUAAUGAUGGCCAGGCUGUCUCCACCCGAGACUCAGUGAAAUUGAACUCGCUGUGAAGAUGCAGUGUACCCGCGGCAAGACGGAAAGACCCCGUGAACCUUUACUAUAGCUUGACACUGAACAUUGAGCCUUGAUGUGUAGGAUAGGUGGGAGGCUUUGAAGUGUGGACGCCAGUCUGCAUGGAGCCGACCUUGAAAUACCACCCUUUAAUGUUUGAUGUUCUAACGUGGACCCGUUACCCGGGUUGCGGACAGUGUCUGGUGGGUAGUUUGACUGGGGCGGUCUCCUCCUAAAGAGUAACGGAGGAGCACGAAGGUUGGCUAAUCCUGGUCGGACAUCAGGAGGUUAGUGCAAUGGCAUAAGCCAGCUUGACUGCGAGCGUGACGGCGCGAGCAGGUGCGAAAGCAGGUCAUAGUGAUCCGGUGGUUCUGAAUGGAAGGGCCAUCGCUCAACGGAUAAAAGGUACUCCGGGGAUAACAGGCUGAUACCGCCCAAGAGUUCAUAUCGACGGCGGUGUUUGGCACCUCGAUGUCGGCUCAUCACAUCCUGGGGCUGAAGUAGGUCCCAAGGGUAUGGCUGUUCGCCAUUUAAAGUGGUACGCGAGCUGGGUUUAGAACGUCGUGAGACAGUUCGGUCCCUAUCUGCCGUGGGCGCUGGAGAACUGAGGGGGGCUGCUCCUAGUACGAGAGGACCGGAGUGGACGCAUCACUGGUGUUCGGGUUGUCAUGCCAAUGGCACUGCCCGGUAGCUAAAUGCGGAAGAGAUAAGUGCUGAAAGCAUCUAAGCACGAAACUUGCCCCGAG
This 1555-nucleotide ribosomal RNA is filed under the name Salmonella enterica subsp. enterica serovar Enteritidis. RNAcentral's name for it is "partial 23S ribosomal RNA". It matches the Rfam family "Bacterial large subunit ribosomal RNA", at positions 1263 to 2803 of the family's 2925-position model. Lineage: Bacteria; Pseudomonadati; Pseudomonadota; Gammaproteobacteria; Enterobacterales; Enterobacteriaceae. The record is from RNAcentral.